Molecule: ribosomal RNA, 254 nt
Filed under: uncultured bacterium
Lineage: Bacteria
Description: partial 16S ribosomal RNA
Rfam family: Bacterial small subunit ribosomal RNA
Source: RNAcentral
UACAGAGGUCCCAAGCGUUGUUCGGAUUCACUGGGCGUAAAGGGUGCGUAGGUGGUGAGGUAAGUCGGAUGUGAAAUCUCCGAGCUCAACUCGGAAAUGGCAUUGGAAACUACCUUGCUCGAGGGUUGGAGGGGGGGACUGGAAUGCUUGGUGUAGCAGUGAAAUGCGUAGAUAUCAAGCGGAACACCAGUGGCGAAGGCGAGUCCCUGGACAACUCCUGACACUGAGGCACGAAAGCUAGGGGAGCAAACAGG